Unclassified non-coding RNA from Macaca mulatta (Rhesus monkey), 117 nucleotides. It matches the Rfam family "Metazoan signal recognition particle RNA". Rfam says of the family: The signal recognition particle (SRP) is a universally conserved ribonucleoprotein. It is involved in the co-translational targeting of proteins to membranes. The eukaryotic SRP consists of a 300-nucleotide 7S RNA and six proteins: SRPs 72, 68, 54, 19, 14, and 9. Lineage: Eukaryota; Metazoa; Chordata; Mammalia; Primates; Cercopithecidae. The record is from Ensembl.
GCCAGGCAUGGUGGCUCAUGCCUGUAAUCCCAGCACUUUGGGAGGCUGAGGUGGGAGGAUCGCUUGAACUCAGGGGUGCGGGACCAGCCUGGGCAACAUAGCGAGACCUCACCUCUA